UGGCUGUCACGUUUUUGGCCUUCAGUGGCGAAGCUCAUCUUGCUUCUGAAAUUGCUAUCUUCCUGUGCUGUGAGCCAAGAACAUGUUAUAACAGCAAAACCCCCUCUGAGAGGAUCAUACUCUGAAGCUCAAGUUCAAGGUUACCCUGGGCUUGACAAUAUGAACAUCCACACUUCUUGAUUGGAGUCUUACAUUUCAGAAGGAUUUUCAUCUGGAGACUGCUGUGGGUGCUUAGCUGAGAAGGAAUGUUCUCCAAGAGGAGUUCUGCUACACUCAGACCAACAGAAGACUACACAAUUGGAUGAACGCCAUCGCUGCUCACUGUACUGUUUACAUUAGGAGGUGCAAUGGCGGAGGACAAACUGACGCCCAGUUAAGCUUUAAUACUGCACAGCCCUUAUUCCAGUAGGACCUGGGCUUUACCAACAAGCACAAUUUGAUCUGGAGACAAGUUUCUGUGGGAUUUUCAAAAGAAGAGAUGUGAAAUAUUGAAGAUAUGAAGGCCCCAGGCAUUAUAUUUCUGCACAGCACGUGGGACUAGAAGGAGCCAUUAUAGACCCUAUUCACAGGGAGUGGGCAGCUGAGUGGCACCUUCUUUGAUUCAGCCUGUCUCCAAGAAUGGAAGGAGAGAGCAAG
This is a long non-coding RNA of Sciurus carolinensis (gray squirrel), 636 nucleotides long. RefSeq lists it as uncharacterized. NCBI's taxonomy places the organism in Eukaryota, Metazoa, Chordata, Mammalia, Rodentia, Sciuridae. The transcript has 3 exons. The record is from RefSeq and is a predicted model, not a curated record.